This 279-nucleotide unclassified non-coding RNA is filed under the name Hevea brasiliensis (rubber tree). Lineage: Eukaryota; Viridiplantae; Streptophyta; Magnoliopsida; Malpighiales; Euphorbiaceae. The record is from RNAcentral.
AUUUGAUCAUAUUUGUUUUAAUCAGGAUUGUAGUCAAUUAAAUGUGAUAUGGUUAGAAAUAAUUGAGCUAGGAUAAGAUGACAUGUGUAUCCAAUCUACAACCUUUCAAAACACCUGACGGCUCAAUUUUAGAGAAAGAACUAGUUGACUCACUGAAAACUUGGUCAGAAGUUGAGAAAUAUUAGACAUGAUUUUUAAAUUCUAUCUUAACAACCAACCUCACACUUUGGGAACUUUACUCCAUCUAAAGGAAAGCCUAAAUUAUUCUAUAGCAUAAAU